This 515-nucleotide ribosomal RNA is filed under the name uncultured bacterium. RNAcentral describes it as "partial 16S ribosomal RNA". It matches the Rfam family "Bacterial small subunit ribosomal RNA", at positions 29 to 523 of the family's 1533-position model. The record is from RNAcentral.
AACGAACGCUGGCGGCGGGCCUAACACAUGCAAGUCGAACGAGAAAGCACCUGCUUGCAGGAGCGAGUAAAGUGGCGCACGGGUGAGUAACGCGUGGUUAAUCUGCCUUUGAGUGGGGAAUAACGUACUGAAAGGUGCACUAAUACCGCAUAAGACCACAGUAUCUGCGGAUACAGGGGUCAAAGGGGGCUUCGGCUCCCGCUUAAAGAUGAGACCGCGUCCCAUUAGCUUGUUGGUGAGGUAACGGCUCACCAAGGCCGCGAUGGGUAGCUGAUUGGGGAGGCAGAUCAGCCACACGGGAACUGACACCCGGUGCAGACUCCUACCGGAGGCAGCAGUGAGGAAUAUUGCGCAAUGGGGGAAACCCGGACGCAGCCACGCCGCGUGGGUGACGAAGGCCUUCGGGUCGUAAAGCCCUGUCAGAUGGAAAGAAACCCCCAUGGGUUAAUACCCCAUGGGAUUGACGGUACCAUCAAAGGAAGCACCGGCUAACUCCGUGCCAGCAGCCGCCGUAA